RNAcentral lists this long non-coding RNA (465 nucleotides) under Daphnia pulex (common water flea). RNAcentral describes it as "uncharacterized LOC124205215". Lineage: Eukaryota; Metazoa; Arthropoda; Branchiopoda; Diplostraca; Daphniidae. The record is from RNAcentral.
CAAAUAUUAGAUGCAUACUGUCAUUCAUUCCAACAAGUUGACUUAGCGCUCCUGAGUCAAUUUCCAUCCAAUAGACCCAUAAUGCUGUCAAAACCUAAAAUUCAUGUUUGAAACUCACAUAUUGUGGAAUACAAAUCUGCCAAGUUAAGGACUUUUCUGAAUCUCGCAAUUUUGGUGGAGAGUUGACCUGCAGCAUCAUGUUUGCUGUGAUGGCUGUUUCUACUUCUGUUUAGAAGGCAUCCCAGCUGAGAGAUAGAGUUUCAGUGACAUGAAGAGUGUGAUGUGAAUAAUGCUGUGUGUAUGCAUACAUGUUCCAGUUCUGCUUGACGCCUUACUAAAUUCAUCACCCAUAUGAUAAAGCAUCAGGAAAUGUAUCUCAACAUGAGGAGUAAGACUGUUAGUUGCUGUAAUUCCCAUUUUUAAGGUUUUUUCAUCAUGAAAAUUGAAGUGUGCUUCUUAGAAAAG